Non-coding RNA from Lolium perenne, 6245 nucleotides. Lineage: Eukaryota; Viridiplantae; Streptophyta; Magnoliopsida; Poales; Poaceae. The record is from RefSeq and is a predicted model, not a curated record.
UCCCCACCGCAUCGGUUUCCCCUCCACAUUAUCUCCUCCACCCAACGCCCGAGAUCGCCGCCGCCUCAGUGUUCCCCUCUCACGAUUUCCCUCCUCUUGGCCACCCCAUACGACGGAGCACUCGCGGGAGCAUCCACGCUAGCUAGAGCAAUGGCGAGCUAGCCCAGCGUAGGGGCCAAGCGGGCCAAGGGCAGGGAUGGUCGGAGCUGCAACCGUCAUCCAACGCAGGCGACGGCCAGGACCGGGGGACGAGCUGAUGGUCGCCUUCGCGAGGUGCUGUUGCAGGCCUCCAUGGGGAUCUGCUGCCGGAGACACCCUGACUGCAUUUCCCGGCGAUGUCCGCGGCUUUCUGCUGCCGUCCACAAUUCCGUGUCACAAGACGCAUCUCGCGCACAAGGGAUCGGGGCGGAUCUGCUUAGUAAAAGUCAUGUGCAGACCGGCGCUCUCCUUUUGGCCGAGGAUGCUGGCUGGUGCAGACUAGUGGAAGUCUGACGUAGUUACUUGUGGUAGCUACAAAUUUUUUUUUUUUUGACUUUGUUUAGAUGAUUUCUGGUUCAAAUCGUAUUGGAUUUCCCUACUCCUGCAUAUAUUGUUUGUUAUAUAGGCUAUCGAUCUGGAUAGUGGUAGUGCUUGCAAGCUAGCACAUUUACAGUUUGGUCAUACUAACUGAUCAUUUCUAUUAUGUUUUUCACUAAGCUUUGCUUGCUAAAAUGUUGUAUCUAUCCGUGGCCGCGACUGUUGGGCCAUACUUCUGGCUCGGUAGCGCUCUCGCAUCCAGCACGGGUUCAGCUGGUUUGGAUGUGCCCCUGGAGCCUGCCACUGGUCUCCCUCGUCGAUGGAAUGUUCGUAGACAUGUGGUGUUCUCCCUUGCCGGUAGGACAUCUUUUCUCUGCGCAACACCGACAUACUGAGACCGGUGUUGACAACAAUCCUCGGAUCUAACACCUAGGAUUUCUGUGUUCUCUGUAUGCAUUUUCACUGUGGAUAAUUAGUUCAUUGUCUACCAUUUUGAACUCAUUACGGGUAUAUUGCAUUUUUUCCCCUUUAUCUGCAUGUGGUUGUACUUUGUUUCAAUGUUGCAACGGUUUUUUAUGCUCAAGCAUAGAUUUUUGGCAACCUGUAAGUGUCUCCUGAUCUUGUUACCUGAGAUUGUUUUUGAGUUUAGACUGUUUCUCCUCACCCCCUACCUUCUGAUCCUAUGCUACUGGUGCUAGUGGCGCUUUACUAUUGAUAAUGAUGUACAUUGUCAUGUGAUGCUCUGGCUCCUGGUUUCAGAUUUCCUAGGUGUUGACGAUACUUGCUGUCACUUGCCGAUUUUCUUAUUUUAAUGUGCGUUUACGCUGCUACAUGUGUGUUGUCACUCUUCUUGAUAGUUAUCAAGUUGAGCUGCCGGGUUCCUAGUCAAUGAGAAGGCUCCAUCAGUAGCGUUAACCACACAUGCCUUUAUUUUUAAAUAUGCCAAGUAGUGGCUUUUGUCUUGACUUUAGCUAUUUGUUGAAUGUUGGUUUUGAGUUGGAUGAGUGUUUUGGAUAGAAAUAUGUGCCUUUCCAGUGGGCUUCCUUGGUUUACUUGACUUAAUCAAUGUCAACCUUAAACAUGGAGUUCUAAUAUAAGGGGGUUUUGACUGUAAUGUUACCGGUUGAAAUUGUUGGAGCCGAUAUGGACUAGUGAAUGAAAGUGUCUAUGAUAUCUUCUGAUUUAACACAAUAUAUGUUUCAUAACCCGAAUCCUCUCUGUUGUAAACCAUCUGGGGUUUGACCCUUUUUUUUCAAUAUAUUCAGGUGGGGAACCUCUCCCCCCCGGUGACCAUUCGAAAAAAAAAUAACCUGAAUCCUUUGGUCUAAUUUAGGACUUUCCAGUACUAGUAUAUUUUAUUUUACCUAAUUCUAGAGGUGAAGCCCACUAGUUUCCGGUUCCUGUGGGUCCAGUUGCAGGGCUUCCAUACUCCUCCCAUACUGAUUUCGAGAACUUCAUUGAGCCGGUUUCUUCCACUAAUCCCGAAGUGGAGCUUGGAUCCAAAGAUACUGUUUUUGAAGACCGAGUUUGACUUUUUUCCUUAUUGAUGCCUGUCCUGUUACUUAUCUUAGUACGAAUCUCGUUGAGUCUAGUGUUCUUGGGGGUUUGGUGCCAUAGCUAUGUAAUUUUACUUAAUACAGUGAUAAAGUUGAUAUGUGUUGGUUAUAAAGAUUUAAAAUAUAUUUACUCUCGUAUAUCCUAGUACUAUUUGACUUUCUCUCAAGAAAAUAAGUAUUAUUUGACUUUGUAUGGUCGUGAUUAGAAAUUGCAACCUUGUAUUUGAUAUGAUGUUAAAAAACAAUCCGGUACAUGCUCACCUAGAAAGAAAGGACCAUGUGAUUUUUUACCAAUGUUCUAGUCAGUUCUCUAUGUGGUAUGGCCCGUGGGGAUGCUGAUGUUCAACCUCUAACAUAAGGCAGCAAACCAGGGGUUGAGUUUGGCUGGCACUUCAGCUAUGGGUAUAGUAGCCCAUGCCAAAUUUGCCAAUGGCAUACACAUAUGUGCCUUGCAUUUGCUAAUUCAACCAUAUAAGUUUAUAUUUUUGGAUUAGUUCAUGGAUUAAGGACGCCACUUAAUGUUUAAAUGACUCAUAUUACUCCUCUCUGUUUUCCUUUAGAUUGCCACCUUUUGGUCUUCUGUUUCUGCAGAACUUUGUUAUUUUGUUUCUUUUGAAUUCUGUUCUUCCAAAUUAUAUCCAUUAAAUGUGUUUGAUUGUGACUAUUUUGUGCAUGGAUGCAUGAAAGGAUACACAAUACCUUCGGUAGGUAUAUGACUAGAUGCGGGGCUUAUUACUGGUAAGCAGUUUGUGUGUUCAUUAGAGGUUUGGUAUGUGGUGGUGAAGUCUUGCUGGUUUAGUAUCUUGUUAUUUUCUUCAGUUUGAUGAGGAGGGUAGCAGUUACUAGUUGGUGACAGCACUCCUUUCUUGCUUCCUUCUACUCCUUGAUAGCUAUCUUGUAAGGUGUUGGGUGUAUUUUGGUAUGCCGAGUGGCUUUUUCGUUGACAACACUCCUUUCUUGCUUCCUUAUACUCCUUGAUAGCUAUCUUGUAAGCCGAUGGGUGACGUUUGGUAUGCCGAGUGGAUUUGCUACGUAUGUGGUUUAAUGGUUGGAUGCAAUUGGUUUUCUUUUAGCAUCUUGGAACAAAUAUGGUUUAGCUGGAUUAAAACAUGAAAGCUCCACGAACCUAAAUAAGCUUCCUUUUGACUAAUUAUGAUGCUUACCUUACUAGGUGGUUCUGAGUAGUAUAUUUCAUAUUUUAGGUUUAAAUUUUGGUGUCGGCUAGCCCAUGUACACCUAGAUACAUUUUAAUAUUGGUUAGAUCUAAACAUUCACUCGUGGUGUGCAAUAUUUGUUAGAUGCAUAAAUACAACGUGCAACCGCUGCCCCUUUGUUCUUCAUUGCAGAUUAAUAUAACAAAUUCGAAAUACGUUAUGUUUAUAUGAAUCUGAAUCAAGAUUUGAGAUCAAAUUCUACUGAUGUCUAUUUCAUUUUAAUUGGGAAAGUGUAGCGUUAUCUUAAUGCAUGAAUCGGUCAGAACUGUUUGACAAUAGUUAUUUUAUUGCCCAAGGAUUCUAUGUUCUCUUUAUUUAGUUUACUUUAGGAUUAGAAUUUAUCUAUUAGUUCUUCUGUGUAGCAUUUGAAUUGGUGUAGGUUCUAGAUUUCUUUCUUGCUUAGUUAGGAUCUGAUUUUUUUAGGCUGGAUGUGAAUAAUCAAGUGAAUAAUCUAAGUUACAUCUACUUAGUACAUGUUCAUGUCUAACUCUCAAUUUUAGUAUUGUUGUGGUGCUUGCUUACCUUAUAAAGGAAGGAUAGUUUUUAUUUAUGCUGAACCUUUUAAGACUUAUAGUUAAUGAUAGAAUGUUAUGUGUGUAAUGGUCAUUGCUUUAUUUUAAGAAAAAGAAAGUUUGAGCGGGAAGAGCUGUAUUGUGUGCUGGCGGGUGGCGAACAUGAUACAUGCCCUGCUCCCGCGGCCUUGACCGAGUACCCCUGCCUCGACCUAGCCGACGACCCAAGCAUGACGCUGCUGCAUGUCUUCACUGAGUGUGGUUCUGCCACAGUGAGGGCAAGGACGAGAGGGAAGCUAGAACCAAUAGCCAUACUACUUGGAACCUGGAUGACCCAUGGACGGCCGAGACAUGUGUGGUUCUCCUUCUUCGUUGAUAUCAUCAAUUGCGCGAUGGGCAAGAAGGAGGCAAGAUGGGACCAGUAGCUGCACAACUUGGAAUCUGGAGGACCUGGGGACGGACAACCCAGACAGUCUACAUGCCUUUGUAUCGCCAUCUACCUUGCCAACUCUACCUAGCAGCUGAUGAUCAACAGUUGCACAAUGGGCAAGGGGAGGACUAAAUGAUAGGCAAGUGUGAACCAGUAGGUGCACUAGUAAGCUGGAGUUCCCAGGGAUAACCGGGACAUGUCUAGGUUCUUAUUUUCUACUGAUAAGCAUUAAUUGCGCAACGGAUUUCUUAUCACUGGAGUGUUGCGCUUGAGAGCAUCUUCGUAGGAAAAUAAGAUUGUCGUAUGGUGCCGUGGCUGCAAUGCUUGGCCUCAGGACAAGUCUUGGUAGUGCUGUUGUGAUGGGUCCAACUUCUGGUGCCUCAUGUGCGGUUACAGGCCUUGCUGUCAUUCAGCUCUAUCCUUGCUAACUCGUGAUGUCGGAAAGUGAUGGCUUUCGUCUAUGUCUCGGUGUUUUGGGCUGCGCAUGGUGUGGUGCAGAGGGUGGGCACGGACGACGUGGCUAUCAACUACUCUCUACAAAAAAAUUAUUGCUGGAAGUUAACCUUUGUCAUUCCCUCAGGACAAGUCUUGGUGUUGCAACUGUUCUCGUCGUAGCUUCCCGUGCCUCAUGUGCGGUUGUAGGCCUUGCUGUUAUUCAGCUCUGUCCUUGCUGACGUGUGAUGUUGGCAAGCAAUAGUCUUCCUCUACGUCUCUGUGUUUUGGCUUUUUCCUUGCUGACGUGUGAUGUUGGCAAGCGAUGGUCUUCCUCUACGUCUCCGUGUUUUGGGUGAGCUUCUGCUUUCCUGCUUAUCUCCUCUAGGUUCUUGUUAUGUAUUGUAGGGUUUGGCUGGUGAGUACUGCCUUAGUUCCUUGUUUAAGAUAUUUAGAAUUCAUAGGGGGCUCAAUUUAGUUGCUAGUUGUCGUCCUGAUCUUAGUGUACUAAUGCAUCCUUGGGGUAUAUUGCUAUGCUGCUGCUGAGGUUGGAAUUUGCUGGUGUUAGUAGUAUUCUCUAACUUUUUACAUCUCUUCGGUCAUAGUAAUGCUUCUGUGCGUGUGUUGUAAUGGUUAAGUUGUUAAUCCUGCGUAGUUGAUCAAUCAGUAUCUACACAUGUCUAAAUCCUUAGUUUUUUGUUUAAAUAAUUAUCCACUCAUUGAUAUGCACUGUUUGUUAAUUAUUUUUCAUGUGUCAACUUGAAUGCUUUCUCAAUGAUGAUGAACUUGGCCUUCUACUGACUGAUUAAGCAGUGGUUGCUGCUGGGUAUCAAACAACAACGCUUUCCUGCUUGUAGUAGCAUUGCUACCUCUCCAGGAUAUCUAGCUAUCUCUCUAGGAUAUCCCGAUUAGCAGUUCUAAGUUCAUGAGUAGAGUUUCUUGUAUAUUGUAGGCUUGCAGAACCAUGGUAAUAUUGUUGGGAUGCUUUAUUUUAGCUUUGCUUUAUCUACUGUGAGAACUGGUAGUUUAUAUCCAGCGAGGUCUCAUCAGGAAAAUGUAGUUUUGAUUCAUGCAGUAAAUGUUUGCCAAUGCAGAGAUGCUAGAGUGCAAGGAAACCAAUGGUUUUAAAGAAAAUAUCUGUCAUUGUAGAGAUGCUAGAGUGCAAGGAAACCAAGGACUUUGACAAUGGUAUUACUUAGGUUGCGCAUGGUGUGGUGCAGGGGUUGGGCGAGGACGGCGUGGCUCUUAGUGACUCCGAUGUUGAUUGUUGACCGCAAUUAUGUGUUUAGUUCGGUUAGCCUCUGACCACUUCUGUCCGUUGUUGACUGUAGCCUGUUAUUUAUAUAAUAAUAAUGUCCCUACUGUUGUUGUAAUAUUCAGGGGAACUGUGUAUGUCGUUAUUUUUGUCGAGUUGAGUGGAACUUAUAGUAAUAUGUGUAGUUAUUUCCUUGAAUUUGUGUUCAAUGAAAAUUAAACUUGUUUUGGCUUAAUGGUAGGUUUAAAUGUGACAUGAUUGAGUUGUGCUUUGGUUACUUGUAUUACUAGCCAUUUGGUAUCUGGUGUGAAUGUCCGAAAAUCAUUGGUG